Molecule: RNA transcript, 1067 nt
Organism: Odobenus rosmarus divergens (Pacific walrus)
Lineage: Eukaryota; Metazoa; Chordata; Mammalia; Carnivora; Odobenidae
Gene name: 40S ribosomal protein S3a-like
Exons: 2
Source: RefSeq, a predicted model, not a curated record
AUGGCAGUCGGCAAGAACAAGUACUUUACGAAAGGUGGCAAUAAGGGAGCCAAGAAGAAAGUGGUUGAUACAUUUUCUAAGAAAGACUGGUAUGAUGUGAAAGCACUAGCUAUGUUCAAUAUAAAACACAUUGGAAAAACAUUAGUCACAAGAACUCAAGGAACCAAAAUCGCAUCUGAUGGCCUCAAGGGUCGUGAUUUUGAAGUGAGCCCUGCUGACCUGCAGAAUGAUGAAACUGCAUUGAGCAAAUUCAAGCUAAUUACUAAGGAUGUUCAGGGCAAAAAGCCUGACUAAUUGCCAUGGCAUGGAUCUUACCCGUGACAAAAUGUGCUCCAUGGUCAAAAAAUGGCAGACCAUGAUUAAAGCUCAUGUUGAUGUCAAGACUACUGAUGGUUAUUUGCUUCAUCUGUUUUCCACCCAGGUGCCCCUGUUUUGUGUUGGUUUUACUAGAAAACGCAAUAAUCAGAUUUGGAAGACCUCUCAUGCUCAGCACCAACAGGUCCGUCAAACUUGGAAAAAGAUGAUGGAAAUCAUGACCCAAGAGGUGCAGACAACUGACUUGAAGGAAGUGGUCAACAAAUUGAUUUCAGACAGCAUUGGAAAAGAUAUAGAAAAAGCUUGUCAGUCUAUUUAUCCACUCCAUGAUGUCUUCGUUAGAAAAGUAAAAAUGCUGAAGAAGCCCAAGUUUGAAUUGGGAAAGCUCUUGGAGCUUCAUGGUGAAGGUAGUAAUUCUGGAAAAGCUACUGGGGAUGAGACUGGUGCUAAAGUUGAACAAGCUGAUGGAUAUGAACCACCAGUCCAAGAAUCUGUUUAAAAUUCAGACAUUUAAUGGUGACAAAUAAAAAAUCUUGUGAUGUUUAAUUUCUCAUGGUUCUUUUUAAAUAAUGUAGGCUUGGUGAAUCAGAUAUUCUGAACUGAUGGUGAUGUGAACUUUUCUAACUGUUGUAUGGAUUUUAUCCAUUACUCUGUGUUACUAAAUAGCUGCAAAAGAGUAGUGAUCCAUUUUGAGCUGUAGUGAUCUAGAAGUAUUAUAGAGGAUUAAUAAAAGGAAAUCUUAAAAAAAAAAA